AGCAGUCGCCACGGGAAUACGGAGGGUGCAAGCGUUAAUCGGAAUUACUGGGCGUAAAGCGCACGCAGGCGGUCUGACAAGUCAGAUGUGAAAUCCCCGGGCUUAACCUGGGAACUGCAUUUGAAACUGUCAGGCUGGAGUCUUGUAGAGGGGGGUGGAAUUCCAGGUGUAGCGGUGAAAUGCGUAGAGAUCUGGAGGAAUACCGGUGGCGAAGGCGGCCCCCUGGACAAAGACUGACGCUCAGGUGCGAAAGCGUGGGGAGCAAACAGGAUUAGAUACCCGUGUAGUCCCUGUCUCUUAUAC
RNAcentral lists this ribosomal RNA (303 nucleotides) under uncultured bacterium. RNAcentral describes it as "partial 16S ribosomal RNA". It matches the Rfam family "Bacterial small subunit ribosomal RNA", at positions 507 to 807 of the family's 1533-position model. The record is from RNAcentral.